RNAcentral lists this ribosomal RNA (440 nucleotides) under uncultured bacterium. RNAcentral describes it as "partial 16S ribosomal RNA". It matches the Rfam family "Bacterial small subunit ribosomal RNA", at positions 338 to 795 of the family's 1533-position model. The record is from RNAcentral.
CCUACGGGUGGCAGCAGUAGGGAAUAUUGCUCAAUGGGGGAAACCCUGAAGCAGCAACGCCGCGUGGAGGAUGAAGGUUUUCGGAUUGUAAACUCCUUUUGUUAGAGAAGAUAAUGACGGUAUCUAACGAAUAAGCACCGGCUAACUCCGUGCCAGCAGCCGCGGUAAUACGGAGGGUGCAAGCGUUAUUCGGAAUGACUGGGCGUAAAGAGCGCGUAGGCGGGGUGGCAAGUCAGAUGUGAAAUCCUAUGGCUCAACCAUAGAACUGCAUUUGAAACUGUUAUUCUAGAGUAUGGGAGAGGUAGGUGGAAUUCUUGGUGUAGGGGUGAAAUGCGUAGAGAUCAAGAGGAAUACUCAUUGCGAAGGCGAACUGCUAGAACAUAACUGACGCUGAUGCGCGAAAGCGUGGGGAGCAAACAGGAUUAGAUACCCGGGUAGUC